CGACAAUGAACAUUAAGUACGAAGUUAAAACGACCGGGUAUAUACCAGAGUGAAUCGUAAGUGGAUAAUACGACCUAAAUAUGGUAGUAGUUGUAUAGAUGUGUUUGAUCACAUUGACGGUCGCGUUUCAACCAAGUUCCUGGAUGAUUUUCGGGUGUCAAAGAAUUAUUUAUUAAUAGCUAUUCAACGCUACUGUAAGCGUUAACAUGGUACUUGUUGGCAAUCUAUUUAAGACAUACAUGUAUAGAAAGUAUACAUACGAUAUGUAUAUACACUCGGAACGAAUAACAAUUGUAAAAAAAGUAAAAGCACCUUUUUCCGUAAUAACGCCAAUUCGGAUGACACC
This 346-nucleotide unclassified non-coding RNA is filed under the name Bombus terrestris (buff-tailed bumblebee). Its description in RNAcentral is "misc RNA ENSBTSG00005033182.1". Lineage: Eukaryota; Metazoa; Arthropoda; Insecta; Hymenoptera; Apidae. The record is from RNAcentral.